Molecule: non-coding RNA, 156 nt
Organism: Poecilia reticulata (guppy)
Lineage: Eukaryota; Metazoa; Chordata; Actinopteri; Cyprinodontiformes; Poeciliidae
Source: RefSeq, a predicted model, not a curated record
CAGGCUGGUGGCGGGCCAAAAGGACCAGAUGGGGACACUGGCGCCAAGGGAGAGAUGGGGCGACCGGGAAUGCCAGGAGAAAAAGGAGAUUUCGGCGCUGUGGGAAACAUUGGUGAUCCUGGUCCAGUUGGUUACAGUGGGAUGAAGGUAAAGUUC